AUUGAACGCUGGCGGCAUGCCUUACACAUGCAAGUCGAACGGCAGCAUGAUCUAGCUUGCUAGAUUGAUGGCGAGUGGCGAACGGGUGAGUAAUACAUCGGAACGUGCCCUGUAGUGGGGGAUAACUAGUCGAAAGAUUAGCUAAUACCGCAUACGACCUGAGGGUGAAAGUGGGGGACCGCAAGGCCUCAUGCUAUAGGAGCGGCCGAUGUCUGAUUAGCUAGUUGGUGAGGUAAAGGCUCACCAAGGCGACGAUCAGUAGCUGGUCUGAGAGGACGAUCAGCCACACUGGGACUGAGACACGGCCCAGACUCCUACGGGAGGCAGCAGUGGGGAAUUUUGGACAAUGGGCGAAAGCCUGAUCCAGCAAUGCCGCGUGUGUGAAGAAGGCCUUCGGGUUGUAAAGCACUUUUGUCCGGAAAGAAAUGGCUCUGGUUAAUACCUGGGAUCGAUGACGGUACCGGAAGAAUAAGGACCGGCUAACUACGUG
RNAcentral lists this ribosomal RNA (490 nucleotides) under uncultured bacterium. Its description in RNAcentral is "partial 16S ribosomal RNA". It matches the Rfam family "Bacterial small subunit ribosomal RNA", at positions 30 to 507 of the family's 1533-position model. The record is from RNAcentral.